AAUUGUUUUCCAUUGGAGACGUGGAAUUUGUAUUUCAUUUUCUCACCUAUACUCCCCAUUUCUUUCUGUAUGCAGGGAAUACAAUCAAGAUAACUCAGGAAAGAAGAUAAUUCAUAAUUAUAGAAGUAAAAAUGCAUAACUCUUAAUAGUGAUCAAUUCAACAGAGAAGAGAUAGCCUUUGAAAUAUCUGAAUUUUCUUUAAAUAUUAAUGAUGAAGAAUUUAGGGAAAUAUCCACCUAUGGGACCAAGAUGAUUUCAUCCAGCCGCUGUGUCUGGAGGUCGGUCUCUAACUACAGAGUGACAUGGACCUCACACACUGCUUCCUGAAAGCAGUGAUAUACAAACGCUGUUGUGCUAUGUGUUCGCUAUUUAGCAGCGAGCUUUCAGAGUGCAGAUCUGACCUGAACACUGCUUGGUUUUCAUGCACAUUAACACAGGAGAUGGGAG
Molecule: long non-coding RNA, 447 nt
Organism: Heterocephalus glaber (naked mole-rat)
Lineage: Eukaryota; Metazoa; Chordata; Mammalia; Rodentia; Bathyergidae
Source: Ensembl